CGGGAAAUGGCUCAGUUUGGUAGAGCGCUGCGUUCGGGACGCAGAGGCUGCAAGUUCAAAUCUUGUUUUCCCGA
This 74-nucleotide transfer RNA is filed under the name Lactobacillus helveticus. RNAcentral describes it as "tRNA-Pro". It matches the Rfam family "tRNA". Rfam says of the family: Transfer RNA (tRNA) molecules are approximately 80 nucleotides in length. The record is from RNAcentral. Lineage: Bacteria; Bacillati; Bacillota; Bacilli; Lactobacillales; Lactobacillaceae.